Molecule: long non-coding RNA, 712 nt
Organism: Engraulis encrasicolus (European anchovy)
Lineage: Eukaryota; Metazoa; Chordata; Actinopteri; Clupeiformes; Engraulidae
Exons: 3
Source: RefSeq, a predicted model, not a curated record
GUGAGACAGCAUCAGAGCUCGGGGGACAUCUCUCGCUCGGGUGAAAUCUCUCCUGGAAGAUUUCAAGGUGUGUGCAGAGUUCUGAAGAAUAAAAGUCAACAGUCAAGUUCUUCUCCAUAUUCUCCAAAUCUGACGGAGGCGUUCCAUCAGGAAAGGGGGAAUGGUUGGUCGAUGCCUCCAGAAUAAUGAUACCCAUGACCCAGGCACAACAUGCUGACAGGGAAUCGGCUAUGGCAGAAAGCAUCCAUGCCAUCUACGUGAUCCGCCAUGAAGGUUCAGAAGCUACUGACAGUCCUGAGGACAUCGGAAUCAUUUUCAAAGGGGUGACUGCAUUUGGCUGCUUGCCAAACAUCCUACCCAGGCUCCGCCCUCGCAGUGACGCAACACCUUCGGCUCUGCUACACACACUCAGGAAAACUUUGUUCAGGUACUUUCGGGUUCCCUCCACAGCAGGAAACUCCACCCACUUUGUCGGGAAGCAAUCGACUUUCAGCAUCACCAACCGUCCUGGCUAGAGGCGUGUUCAAGGAAGUGACAAGGUUUGAGCAGAGACGCUCUAUUGGGACUAAGAAAAUGUUUGGUUUAAACUUUGGCUCAGCCUGUUCGGCCCUCGACCAGUAGCAAAUCAUGAGAGUUGGGUCAACCAUGCCGUUUGAGAAUGUUGUUAUGCUCUUGGUCAGACCAAGUCUCGAAGAGAUUUGUAAGUCAUGAU